CCCCUCUCUAAGGCCUGGGGUGGUGUCUGGACCCUGAACUAGGAGUCAGGAGACCUUUGUUGAUUU
This 66-nucleotide microRNA precursor is filed under the name Octodon degus (degu). RNAcentral describes it as "miRNA (ENSODEG00000021105.1)". Lineage: Eukaryota; Metazoa; Chordata; Mammalia; Rodentia; Octodontidae. The record is from RNAcentral.